CAAUAGCAUAUAUGAAUGUUGUUGCAGUUAAAACGCUCGUAGUCGAUAAUGAUGAAUUCGACACCAUUUCAUGGGUUGAAUAUCACAAUCAAACUUACCAAACAUUGGUAAGAAAGAGUGCACUUUUGCAUUCUUGGUGGACAUUCAUGACUUCAUUUGAAGUCAUUGGUCAUUACCUCGAUUGAAUCAGAGUUCUCAACACGGGCGUUAAUAAAUGAUGAGGGAAUGAUCAAGCAUGGGAUAAUACAUAUCACUGUUGACAUAUACGUAUUGGUACUAAGGCCAACACUUACGAGUGAUUAAUAGGAACAGUUGAGGGUUCUAGUACUGAAUGGCGAGAGGUGAAAUUCUUAGACCCAUUCAAGACUUUAUGAGGCGAAAGCAUUUGCCAAGGAUGUUUUCAUUGA
RNAcentral lists this ribosomal RNA (407 nucleotides) under uncultured eukaryote. RNAcentral describes it as "partial 18S ribosomal RNA". It matches the Rfam family "Eukaryotic small subunit ribosomal RNA", at positions 592 to 976 of the family's 1831-position model. The record is from RNAcentral.